RNAcentral lists this ribosomal RNA (497 nucleotides) under uncultured bacterium. RNAcentral's name for it is "partial 16S ribosomal RNA". It matches the Rfam family "Bacterial small subunit ribosomal RNA", at positions 28 to 507 of the family's 1533-position model. The record is from RNAcentral.
GAUGAACGCUGGCGGCGUGCCUAAUACAUGCAAGUCGAGCGAACAGACGAGGAGCUUGCUCCUCUGACGUUAGCGGCGGACGGGUGAGUAACACGUGGAUAACCUACCUAUAAGACUGGGAUAACUUCGGGAAACCGGCGCUAAUACCGGAUAAUAUAUUGAACCGCAUGGUUCAAUAGUGAAAGACGGUUUUGCUGUCACUUAUAGAUGGAUCCGCGCCGCAUUAGCUAGUUGGUAAGGUAACGGCUUACCAAGGCAACGAUGCGUAGCCGACCUGAGAGGGUGAUCGGCCACACUGGAACUGAGACACGGUCCAGACUCCUACGGGAGGCAGCAGUAGGGAAUCUUCCGCAAUGGGCGAAAGCCUGACGGAGCAACGCCGCGUGAGUGAUGAAGGUCUUCGGAGCGUAAAACUCUGUUAUUAGGGAAGAACAAAUGUGUAAGUAACUAUGCACGUCUUGACGGUACCUAAUCAGAAAGCCACGGCUAACUACGUG